This 876-nucleotide long non-coding RNA is filed under the name Capsicum annuum. Its description in RNAcentral is "long non-coding RNA (CANN_LNC006011)". The record is from RNAcentral. Lineage: Eukaryota; Viridiplantae; Streptophyta; Magnoliopsida; Solanales; Solanaceae.
AGAUAGAAAGAGGAGAUGAAAGAGUUACGUAAUUGCAGGCACUUAUGGCCCUUUCUUUUUCCUUAUUGAGUUUAGAUUCUUCUUUUCAAACUUAUUCUUAUUUAUUAUAAAUGUACUCCAGUCUCUUGUAUUACUGCCAAGGAUCUAAUAAGGUUUGUCUGAAACUAAUGCACCGAAGUUUGUCCAGUUAUACACCCAAGUUACACCUGUGAUUUUACGAGUUGACUAAGAAGAUUAAAAUUCACAUUAGCCUUAGCAAUUAUAGUACAAGAUUUGUGGGGACUGGUCUGAACUAUGGUUUUAGAAAGGAUAUCCUGCAAGCCCUUCACGACAAAUCAGAAGCAGUUAUAUCGUGGGUGUGGCCCAUGAAUUAUCUUGGGGAGAUAUCUUCUAACUCACAGUCAUGGUUGGAAAAAGCUUCAUCUUCAGCACCAUGGCCUGUUAUUGAAUAAGUAUGUUGAGUCAUAAAUUCAGUGGUGAAACAAGGAGAUUAUUUCACUGAUAGAUCGACAUGAGACUCUGGGUAGAAUUUUCAUUCGAAACUAUAUUUCCCUAAUAAAAGUUCAAUAAUACUUUCUGAUGCUCUUUUUACCAUCUAUGCACCAAUAAUUUGAGUAUGCAACUGACAUGCAUCUGUUUUACCUUUUGUAGAGUCAAGAUGAGAGAAUUCAGGAAUUGACGGCUGCUGUGGUAAAUGCGUCUGAGAUCUGUGAAGCUUAUCGAACAAAAUUGUUGAGUAUUUUGAGAGAACUGGAGGAGCAGAAGCUGAGAAUAUCUUUGAAGGUACAGAAUAUGAGGCUUAAUCGAAUAGCUUGAGCUAUAGAAGGCACUUCAAAUUCUUUGUAUAUAUAGUGGGUAUGUUGUUGUUGUAUACAC